RNAcentral lists this ribosomal RNA (253 nucleotides) under uncultured bacterium. RNAcentral's name for it is "partial 16S ribosomal RNA". It matches the Rfam family "Bacterial small subunit ribosomal RNA", at positions 524 to 776 of the family's 1533-position model. The record is from RNAcentral.
UACGGGAGGUGCAAGCGUUGUUCGGAAUGACUGGGCGUAAAGCGCACGUAGGCGGGUCCUUAAGUCGCAUGUGAAAGCCCCGGGCUUAACCUGGGAAUUGCAUACGAAACUGUGGAUCUUGAAUGCCUGAGAGGUUGAUGGAAUUCUUGGUGUAGGAGUGAAAUCCGUAGAUAUCAAGAGGAACACCGGAGGCGAAGGCGGUCAACUGGUGGUGCAUUGACGCUGAGGUGCGAAAGCGUGGGUAGCAAACAGG